GAGAUACUAAGAAUCAUAAGUAUAGAGUGAUGAGAAGAAGAAGAAACAUACGACAAGUGAAGAAGAAGUUGCGGCAUUGAACAAUAUUAAGCAAUGGUGCAGAGAAGGGGCGCUGAUGGAUAAGAAUGAUUUAGGGCUCUUAUUAUUUUUCCUUUUAUAUUAUUUUCUUUAUUUUUAUUUUUGUAAUUUACCAAUUUGUACGUUUUUAUUUUUAUUUUUAUUUUUGAAACAUGUACUAUUCUGUUUUUGUGUAUUAAACUCAAUCUACAAGUAUAACACUUUUUUUAUUUAAUUUUAUUUAAUCUAUAUCCAAAAUUAUUAUACAUUGUGUGGCUUAUUCAUUUAGUUUUAUUAAAUCUAU
Molecule: long non-coding RNA, 361 nt
Filed under: Salvia miltiorrhiza (redroot sage)
Lineage: Eukaryota; Viridiplantae; Streptophyta; Magnoliopsida; Lamiales; Lamiaceae
Description: long non-coding RNA (SMIL_LNC003720)
Source: RNAcentral